This 110-nucleotide long non-coding RNA is filed under the name Chinchilla lanigera (long-tailed chinchilla). RNAcentral describes it as "lncRNA (ENSCLAG00000028888.1)". Lineage: Eukaryota; Metazoa; Chordata; Mammalia; Rodentia; Chinchillidae. The record is from RNAcentral.
CAAGCUGUCCCUGCCCGAGGAAGGAAUGUUCCCGAGAGCAGAGAACAGCUGAUGAAAGAAAGAAAAUCCAGCUAAACAGGCAAGACUUCACUUUUAAUCUUCUAAGCCGG